RNAcentral lists this ribosomal RNA (429 nucleotides) under Gemmatimonadota bacterium. RNAcentral describes it as "Gemmatimonadetes bacterium partial 16S ribosomal RNA". It matches the Rfam family "Bacterial small subunit ribosomal RNA", at positions 355 to 776 of the family's 1533-position model. Lineage: Bacteria; Pseudomonadati; Gemmatimonadota. The record is from RNAcentral.
UAGGGAAUCUUCGGCAAUGGACGAAAGUCUGACCGAGCAACGCCGCGUGAGUGAAGAAGGUUUUCGGAUCGUAAAACUCUGUUGUUAGAGAAGAACAAGGACGUUAGUAACUGAACGUCCCCUGACGGUAUCUAACCAGAAAGCCACGGCUAACUACGUGCCAGCAGCCGCGGUAAUACGUAGGUGGCAAGCGUUGUCCGGAUUUAUUGGGCGUAAAGCGAGCGCAGGCGGUUUCUUAAGUCUGAUGUGAAAGCCCCCGGCUCAACCGGGGAGGGUCAUUGGAAACUGGGAGACUUGAGUGCAGAAGAGGAGAGUGGAAUUCCACGUGUAGCGGUGAAAUGCGUAGAUAUAUGGUGGAACCCCAGUGGCGAAGGCGGCUCUCUGGUCUGUAACUGACGCUGAGGCUCGAAAGCGUGGGGAGCAAACAGG